This 489-nucleotide ribosomal RNA is filed under the name uncultured bacterium. RNAcentral describes it as "bacterial SSU rRNA". It matches the Rfam family "Bacterial small subunit ribosomal RNA", at positions 8 to 526 of the family's 1533-position model. The record is from RNAcentral.
AGAGUUUGAUCCUGGCUCAGGAUGAACGCUGGCGGUCUGCUUAACACAUGCAAGUCGAACGGGGUGUAACAGCCUAGUGGCGACCGGGUGCGUAACACGUACUAGACCUGCCCUCGAGCGGGGGAUAACGUAUCGAAAGAGACGCUAAUACCGCAUGCACUCGUGAAGAUUAGAAGGUCACGAGAAAACUUACGGGGUUCGAGGAGGGUGGUGCGGCCCAUCAGGUAGUUGGAGAGGUAGCGGCUCACCAAGCCAACGACGGGUAGGGGUUCUGAGAGGAAGACCCCCCACACUGGAACUGUCAGACGGUCCAGACUCCUACGGGAGGCAGCAGUAAGGGAUAUUGGUCAAUGGGCGCAAGCCUGAACCAGCAACGCCGCGUGGAGGAUGAAGGCUUUCGGGUCGUAAACUCCUUUUGGUGCUGACGAGCAAGGACGGUAGGCACCGAAUAAGUCACGGCUAACUACGUGCCAGCCGCCGCGGUAAUUC